Molecule: ribosomal RNA, 229 nt
Filed under: uncultured Pandoraea sp.
Lineage: Bacteria; Pseudomonadati; Pseudomonadota; Betaproteobacteria; Burkholderiales; Burkholderiaceae
Description: partial 16S ribosomal RNA
Rfam family: Bacterial small subunit ribosomal RNA
Source: RNAcentral
AUUGAACGCUGGCGGCAUGCCUUACACAUGCAAGUCGAACGGCAGCACGGGUGCUUGCACCUGGUGGCGAGUGGCGGAACGGGUGAGUAAUACAUCGGAAUGUACCUUGUAUGGGGGGAUAGCUCGGCGAAAGCCGGAUUAAUACCGCAUACGCUCUGAGGAGGAAANCGGGGGGACCUUUCGGGUCCCUACGUCGCUACAAGAGCAGCCGAUGUCAGAUUAGCUUGUU